This 482-nucleotide ribosomal RNA is filed under the name uncultured bacterium. Its description in RNAcentral is "partial 16S ribosomal RNA". It matches the Rfam family "Bacterial small subunit ribosomal RNA", at positions 30 to 507 of the family's 1533-position model. The record is from RNAcentral.
AUUGAACGCUGGCGGCAUGCUUUACACAUGCCAGUCGAACGGUAACAGGCCGCAAGGUGCUGACGAGUGGCGAACGGGUGCGUAAUGCAUCGGAACGUGCCCAGUCGUGGGGGAUAACUACUCGAAAGAGUAGCUAAUACCGCAUACGAUCUAUGGAUGAAAGCGGGGGACCGUAAGGCCUCGCGCGAUUGGAGCGGCCGAUGUCAGAUUAGGUAGUUGGUGGGGUAAAGGCUCACCAAGCCAACGAUCUGUAGCUGGUCUGAGAGGACGACCAGCCACACUGGGACUGAGACACGGCCCAGACUCCUACGGGAGGCAGCAGUGGGGAAUUUUGGACAAUGGGCGCAAGCCUGAUCCAGCAAUGCCGCGUGCAGGAAGAAGGCCUUCGGGUUGUAAACUGCUUUUGUACGGAACGAAACGGCUCUGGUUAAUACCCGGGGCUAAUGACGGUACCGUAAGAAUAAGCACCGGCUAACUACGUG